ACAUAGUAGAUUGUGUACGGUCCUACCAGACCAUAUGCUUUCGCGUCCAGCUAGCCUAGCAACUACUCCAAUGGGAGAGUACACCAGUUCUUCCCACACAUCAAUUCCAAUUGUUUCUCUAAUGUGGGGGAAAUUUCUUGGACGGAAAUUGUGAUUAAUUUCUUGGACGGAAAUUGUGAUUAAUUUCUUUUUUUCCAGGUUAGAAGACCCUUCAGGGUAAAGUCUUGGAGGGUAAUCCCGUGAUUUAACUUCAGCAACAUCCUUCUAAUCAUAUAACCCAACAAUAAAUUAGCCACAAGAUAAUAAUAACACAUCUGUACUAUAACAAUAACUCAGCCACAAAAUGUUUGAAUAACUCAGUCACAACAUAACUGUAACUCACCCACAACAUAAAAGUAACUCAGCCACAACAUAACAUUAACUUAGUUGCGACACAGCAAUAACUCGGCCAUAACAUAACCCUAACUCAGUC
RNAcentral lists this long non-coding RNA (472 nucleotides) under Brassica napus (rape). RNAcentral describes it as "long non-coding RNA (BNAP_LNC025521)". The record is from RNAcentral. Lineage: Eukaryota; Viridiplantae; Streptophyta; Magnoliopsida; Brassicales; Brassicaceae.